This 468-nucleotide ribosomal RNA is filed under the name uncultured bacterium. RNAcentral describes it as "partial 16S ribosomal RNA". It matches the Rfam family "Bacterial small subunit ribosomal RNA", at positions 28 to 507 of the family's 1533-position model. The record is from RNAcentral.
GACGAACGCUGGCGGCGUGCUUAACACAUGCAAGUCGAACGGAAAGGCCCUGCUUUUGUGGGGUGCUCGAGUGGCGAACGGGUGAGUAACACGUGUGUAACCUGCCCUUGACUUUGGGAUAACUUCAGGAAACUGGGGCUAAUACCGGAUAGGAGCUCCUGCUGCAUGGUGGGGGUUGGAAAGUUUCGGCGGUUGGGGAUGGACUCGCGGCUUAUCAGCUUGUUGGUGGGGUAGCGGCUUACCAAGGCUUUGACGGGUAGCCGGCCUGAGAGGGUGACCGGCCACAUUGGGACUGAGAUACGGCCCAGACUCCUACGGGAGGCAGCAGUGGGGAAUAUUGCACAAUGGGCGGAAGCCUGAUGCAGCAACGCCGCGUGCGGGAUGACGGCCUUCGGGUUGUAAACCGCUUUCGCCUGUGACGAAGCGUGAGUGACGGUAAUGGGUAAAGAAGCACCGGCUAACUACGUG